UAAGAUUCUGAUUGCAAUGAAUAACUGCUGAGGUUAUUUUCCCACUUUGAGAUUCUGAAAUUCUUCUACAAUAUUGUUUUUCAACUAGUAGCUCAAUUUGAUUUGAUUCUGGUUUGAUAGCUCAGAUCGAAUCAAGUGGAAAGUUGCAGAAGAAACUAUUUUGAUUGACAGUUUGGAGUUACAGUUUUUCUUUCUUUCAGCUGCUUCUCCCUAUAGAGUUUGGGAGUGUCUGAGUAUAACAUUUGUUCUGUGUUUAUGAAGACAGAGAGAAAAGGGAUGUGAGGAAAAACAUCUUUCAAGUUAGCACUAUCAUAUCAUAUUGUAAAGAAACACUGGAAAGAGAAUUCCAUGAAAAAAUGAGUCCAGUCAAGACACUGUAUUCUUAUUAUGGCUGGAAUGAAGCUGGAGAAAACAAAAAGGAGAUGAAGAAUUCUUUCUUUCUGUUGAUUCUGGGACUCAGUAAAAUAACAAACAGCUGAAUAUAAGCAGACUACUUUAAGAGUGAACUUAAAAGAAGACCCAAUGUAAGUGAAAAUUUAAACAAUCCUCUAAUAAAGAUCAUUAGCAAAGUUUUAGUACAAUACUCUAUUUUUUAGGAUUCUUGUAAAUGGCUUGCAUUUUCAUUGUGGCAGAAAAAAAAGGAGUUUGUACAUACUGUACACAAAGAGACAGCAGAUAUUUAUAGGUACAGUAUUUUUUUUUUUUUUUUUUUGUACUUGCAUGAAUAUUUACAGAAGGCUGAGUCUGGAACUCAGCGAGGUUUGUGAAAUUUGUGUGCUUCAUCCUUAGACCUACACACUUCUGUAAUCAUCAUUUAAUGUGGUAUUUUUAAAUGUUACUUUAAACACUUGGUUGUAGGAGAAAAUAUUAACCAUAAGGCUUGGUAUACUUUAUAAAUACACCUAAACAAUUCCGAAAAACAAUGUUGCAAUCAAGUCAAUUAUUAUUAUAAUUACUUAACCUUUAUUAAAUGCCGACAAUGUGCUGGGCAUUUUAGAGAACAUAGAAAAGAUAAGAUUCCCUGCUCUUAAGCAGCCUAUGAUGUUAAAUGGAGUAAAAAAGGCCUGUAUCUCCUUUUUAAGCUAAAGCAAGAAGGAAUGGCCUCAUGAUUUGUAUUAAAAUGUUGUGUUAUUUUUCCACUAGCCUCUAGCCAAUUGAGUUUUGAAAGGUAAUUAUUAUUAGCAUUCUAGAGAUCAUGAAACCUGCCCACCAUGUGCAAUUGCAUUUAUAUUUAUGAUAACAACAAAUCUUCCGUAAAAAUGGAAAAUGUCUGGGAUUGCGGGUACAAAUGCAAUGCAUGGAAGCCAGGAUCAUGACAUUAGAAUUUAUCACCUUCAGUUACAAAAAGUGCAGUAAACAGAAACAUUUCAUAUAGGUUUAUAAAUUGCUCAAAAAUCUUUGCUAAAGAUCUUAUAAAUUCAGUAAUAUCACAGAACAAUUCUAAUAAAUAUUUAAUAAGGUUUAACUACAUCCUUAGUUAGAUAUUUGAUAUAUUUCUUUCAAGAAUGAACCUGCCAAGGGUUUGGAAGAAUUAUUAGCUCCUCGUCCAAUUGCUAAUUCAAAAUGAACAUUACAUAAUUGACUGAUAACACAAAUUUCAUAUCCAAGUUAAACAUAUCCAAAUGUGAGACCCACACAUUUACUAGAUGACAAACAUAUCCAUCUACCAGUAACUUUUUGUUUGGAAGGUUUGUUCUACCAUCAAGCUACCAACAAUGUUUUCUAAAAUGUCUCUUUUUUUGUAAUUGGUGCGCUAAGUGCACCAGGUGCCAAAUAUAAUUUAUUAUUUAAAAAAAAAAAAAACAAACCUAAAAAUGUAUUGCUUUUGAAACUAGAGUGAGCCUUUAGGUCUUGAAGUUACAGGAAAUUAUUUUUCAUCUUAAGAAAUAUAAUAUUACAAAGCCAGGUUAUAAAACAAAUAAAAAAAAAAGGUGCUAAAUUUUCACAAUCCAUAUUUAUAAGAAAAUUCACUCUAUUGAUGCCAAAUAUCAAUACUAAGGAAGUAAUUUUAUCCCAAUUAAAUACACUGUAGAAUAAUUUAUAUAAUGAUACUAUGUAUUUAAAGAGAAAAGCAUGUCCCAAAUCUAGCACUCUGAUACAGGUACCAGUUGGGUACAGGUAGAUAUAUAGAUAUAUAUAUAUAUGCUAUAUAUAUAUAUAUAUAUGUAUAUAUAUACAAAUAUAUAUAGUUAUACUCAGUGAAAUUAACAAGACCCAAAGGUGGUAUUGUCUAGGAAUAAAAGGGAUUUUUGUUCACAAAAGUAACUUAUCUAGCACCACACAUCAGAAAAACACAAAAAUAGCACACUCUAGUUCUAAACAGCUAUGUCUAAAAUAGAUUAUAUAGUAAAACAGGUAUUAUACAGAAUAAUGUGGUAUUUGAUAAACAGAUAAAUAUUUGCACUGAGUAGGCUGUUUAUAAUAUAACAUUUUCUUAUCUAUACAGAAUGAAAGCCAAAAAGUUAACUGUAUAGAGGUGAGCAGAACAACAUUAAAUAUCAUGACUCAAAAGCAGAGACAAAGAUAAAUUUGAAAGAAGAGUAAGAGAAAAUGUUUACAGGCCAUUACAAGUCCUUAAGUUAGCAGGAAAAUAAGGAAUCAGUUGCUCAAGUUGAAGAAAGCAGUAAACAAGAUUGCAUUUACAUGCAGAUGUCUAAAAUUUGUAUUUUUUUUAAAAUCUAUGCACAAAAAGUCAUUUGUUUUUAUUGCUUGACAUUCAGUUAUGGCUAGAGUAUUUUUAACCUAUUUUUUUUUUUUUUGUACUUUGGAAACAAGAAUAUUGUUAAAGGUGCCAUAAAAAUGGACAACAUUGAAAAUGGUUUGCAAAUAAACCACCUAACACUGCAGUUCUUUAUACAUUUUAAAAGCCUUGUCUGGGGUUUGUCAUAUGUUAAAUAUAUUUAAAUUGGGAAAAUAUGUUGUAGCUUGAAGCCUCCCAUUGGCCCAAACAUCCAAUACAAAAACACAUCUCCACAAAAGGAGCAGGCAGACAAUACAGGUACAUAGAAAGAAGCAGCCAGCUAAUUUCCUAAUGUUAAAAACACUUACCACUGUUUUACAUGUAGAUUGAAACCAAAACAGAAAAGAGAAUUUGGAGUUUAGAAAGAUGUGUACAGUACAUAUGUAUUUUUGUGAAAUAAAAUUCACUAUAUUGCUUAUGAGUUGCUUGCAUUUACUUAUGCAAUCUGUUCAGUGAUAAUCAGCUCCAAAGAAAAUGUAUUAAUCCAUAUUAAGACUGAUUGGGUUAAUGGGUGGGACACAAUUAGAUGAAGUGCACAAAGAACAAUGAAAGCAUAGAACUGUUUCUUGGAGAAUAUCAUGAUAGUGUAUGGAGAAUGCAAUGUGUUCCAUGAAAAGGUUUCAAGGAAUAACAUAUAAAAGUUUAAUGUGGUACAAUAAUUAAAGCAUAACACUAAAUGCAGAUUAGAAAUACUGACUUUUCUAGUCAUCCACUUAAAACAUUCAUAUGCAGUUUCCACAAUGAAUCCAUAGACCAAUACAUUUUAUGUUGAAUUACCCAAAAAAAAAAUAUUUCCUUUAUGGACUAAAUGUAAUUAUUGCUCUAAGUUUUAGAGGUCAGAUUCCUGCCUCAUAAGUGGGUAUAAGGUUCUUGUAAUCUACAAUGGCAGUUUGGUGCUGAAAGAAGUUAUUAAAUGAAGAGCCCAACAAGAGAUGAUGUCACUAAAGAAAAAUUGAAAAGAAACAACUGCUACAUGGAAAUGUUUGGCCAUUCUACAAUGCAGAUAUAGAUGGAGGAAAGACUUUGUGUGUCUUAAAAUAAGUGAUGGAAAUUAACUCAAUAUUCUAAAACUGCUUUAUAAGGCAGGCAUUGAAGGAUAGAAAAACUUCUACAGAUGGAACAUAUCAUAUCUGUCAUAUGUCCCUAUUGUGUUUCUGAGUGGGAGGAUUUAACUUGUAAUAUGUUUUAAAGACAUUCCAUUAUAUUAUAUUUUGACACUACAGUAGUAAAAAAAUUUUUUCUUAACCGAAAUUUAAUAAGUUAUGCAAUACACACACACACACACACACACACACACACACACACACACAUAUACAUAUAUAUGUGUGUAUAUAUCUGUUCCUGAUUCAGUGGAUAGAUGAAGGUCUCAAAAUAUGCUUAUGUUGGAAUAUUUUGUCUAUAAAGUAUUUAAAGCUUUCUUCUGCAUAUUUAUAUCUAUAGCAAAAAAAUGGAAUAGAGGAAAGAAUUGCAAAAAGGAAGA
Sarcophilus harrisii (Tasmanian devil) is the source of this 4220-nucleotide long non-coding RNA. Lineage: Eukaryota; Metazoa; Chordata; Mammalia; Dasyuromorphia; Dasyuridae. The record is from Ensembl.